ACUGUGUUUGUUUCUUCAGUUCCUUGCCUGCCGCCCUGUGCCUUCCAGUUCACACGUUCUCCUCCUGCUGGAUCUGAAGAGUCUGACUGUUGGCGACAUCCUGGAGAAGCUGUGACGAGAAGAAGAAAAGACAACAACAAGGCGGCGGGGGCUGCGGCUAAUGGAGAGGCUGUAAUUGUGAAUGGAGGCAUUCAUCUGGAGACGUCGUCCGUGAAUUGCGCCACAAUGCGCAGCGCCGGGCUGCUCAGAUCACCAACCAGUCACCAAACACACACAGAUGCACACAUAUAGACGCACACACUGAAGCCUUUAGAUCACUGGUGCUCAAGAGGAGGAACGGAACAACACCUCGGCAGAGAGCGAGACAGGAGCAAAGAGGGGGAGAGAAGGAGCGAGGACCUAAGGGGGGGGGGAGCAACAGGAGAGGAGAAAUUGUACAAGUAGAGGAGGAGGAAGAUGGGAUUAAAAAGUGGAUGUUUCCUGCCAUUUGAUUUGGGCUAUAGAACCUAGGAGGUAGAUCAGAUAGACACGCAUACACGCACGCACGCACGCACACACACAUGCACACACAGAUUCUGAUAUAGAGGAACAUGUAAGUAAACACAAAUGCAUACACACAAGCAUGCACAACACAUUCAUUC
Molecule: long non-coding RNA, 641 nt
Organism: Sander lucioperca (pikeperch)
Lineage: Eukaryota; Metazoa; Chordata; Actinopteri; Perciformes; Percidae
Exons: 2
Source: RefSeq, a predicted model, not a curated record